This 410-nucleotide ribosomal RNA is filed under the name Salmonella enterica. Its description in RNAcentral is "bacterial SSU rRNA". It matches the Rfam family "Bacterial small subunit ribosomal RNA", at positions 1136 to 1533 of the family's 1533-position model. The record is from RNAcentral. Lineage: Bacteria; Pseudomonadati; Pseudomonadota; Gammaproteobacteria; Enterobacterales; Enterobacteriaceae.
AACUCAAAGGAGACUGCCAGUGAUAAACUGGAGGAAGGUGGGGAUGACGUCAAGUCAUCAUGGCCCUUACGACCAGGGCUACACACGUGCUACAAUGGCGCAUACAAAGAGAAGCGACCUCGCGAGAGCAAGCGGACCUCAUAAAGUGCGUCGUAGUCCGGAUUGGAGUCUGCAACUCGACUCCAUGAAGUCGGAAUCGCUAGUAAUCGUGGAUCAGAAUGCCACGGUGAAUACGUUCCCGGGCCUUGUACACACCGCCCGUCACACCAUGGGAGUGGGUUGCAAAAGAAGUAGGUAGCUUAACCUUCGGGAGGGCGCUUACCACUUUGUGAUUCAUGACUGGGGUGAAGUCGUAACAAGGUAACCGUAGGGGAACCUGCGGUUGGAUCACCUCCUUACGUGAAAGAAGC